GACGAACGCUGGCGGCGUGCUUAACACAUGCAAGUCGAACGGAAAGGCCCUGCUUUUGUGGGGUGCUCGAGUGGCGAACGGGUGAGUAACACGUGAGUAAACUGCCCUUGACUUUGGGAUAACUUCAGGAAAAUGGGGCUAAUACCGGAUAGGAGCUCCUGCAGCACGGUGGGGGUUGGAAAGAUUCGGCGGUUGGGGCUGGACUCGCGGCUUAUCAGCCUGUUGGUGGGGUAGUGGCUUACCAAGGUUUUGACGGGUAGCCGGCCUGGGAGGGUGACCGGCCACAUUGGGACUGAGGUACGGCCCAGACUCCUACGGGAGGCAGCAGUGGGGAAUAUUGCGCAAUGGGCGGAAGCCUGAUGCAGCAACGCCGCGUGCGGGAUGACGGCCUACGGGGUGUGAACCACUUUCGCCUGAGACGAAGCGUGAGUGACGGUAAUGGGUAAAGAAGCACCGGCUAACUACGUG
Molecule: ribosomal RNA, 468 nt
Filed under: uncultured bacterium
Lineage: Bacteria
Description: partial 16S ribosomal RNA
Rfam family: Bacterial small subunit ribosomal RNA
Source: RNAcentral